This is a small nuclear RNA of Zophobas morio, 163 nucleotides long. RefSeq annotates it as U1 spliceosomal RNA. Lineage: Eukaryota; Metazoa; Arthropoda; Insecta; Coleoptera; Tenebrionidae. The transcript has a single exon. The record is from RefSeq and is a predicted model, not a curated record.
AUACUUACUUGGCGUCGGGGUUACCGUGAUCAAGAAGGCGGUUCCUCCAGGACGAGACCCUUCCAUUGCACUGAGGUAGGGACAAAUCCUGCGAUUAUCCCUAAAGUGGAUAAAUCGGGCGCGCAAUUUUUGGUAGUCGGGACUGCGUACGCGCUAUCCCGGU